AGACCCACCGGUCAAAGAGAUACUACUACUUCUCGAAACCACCUACCAUUCUUCUUCCCUCUUUCUCUUUCUUCUUCUUCUUCUAUUAUUAGUUUCAGUCGCAGUAUUUGAUUCCUAUCCCUGCUUCCUCUUACUACUUCCUGUUCAGUGGGGUGUUGAUAUUGUUCCCUCGGGCCUCCCACGGCGAUGGCGGGAGGCAGCAGCAUCCAUGCGAAGCUGGUACUUCUUGGGGACAUGGGAACAGGAAAGACUAGUAUAGUACUGAGGUUUGUCAAAGGCCAGUAUUUUGAUUGUCAGGAAUCUACAAUUGGUGCAGCCUUUUUCUCUCAAAUACUAUCAAUAAGUGAUGCAACUAUAAAGUUUGAUAUAUGGGAUACAGCUGGACAAGAGCGAUAUCAUAGCCUGGCUCCCAUAUAUUAUCAUGGGGCAGCUGCAACUAUUGUUGUGUAUGACAUCUCGAGCAGAUUAGUGCUGAGUUCUGAAGUUGAUGAAAAGCUUGCAUCAAAGCCAGCUCUAGUAUAUACUAGAAGACCAAAAGUACAGACAUAGCUUACCUCCAACCGAUCCUCCGUCUGUGGUUAAAGGUCUUACUCAUCAGCAAUCCUCUUUUCCUUCUGAUUUUAAUGUUCCUGUUGCUCUUUGAAAAGGUCUUAUCAGGAAGCCAUGUUAGUUCCUACUUAGAAGGAGGAUAUGGGUGAGGAGAUGAAAGCACUUGCUUCUCAGU
RNA transcript from Asparagus officinalis (garden asparagus), 724 nucleotides. It is a transcript of the gene named ras-related protein RABF2b-like, with no coding region annotated. The transcript is spliced from 5 exons. The record is from RefSeq and is a predicted model, not a curated record. Lineage: Eukaryota; Viridiplantae; Streptophyta; Magnoliopsida; Asparagales; Asparagaceae.